CAAAUUUUGAAAGCUGGCGUCUUCGACGUCCGCAUUGUAAUCUCGAGAAGUGUUUUCCGUGUUGGACCAUGUACAAGUUCCUUGGAACAGGACGUCAUAGAGGGUGAGAAUCCCGUACUUGACAUGGAUGCCCAAUGCUUUGUGAUACGCUCUCCACGAGUCGAGUUGUUUGGGAAUGCAGCUCAAAAUGGGUGGUAAAUUCCAUCUAAAGCUAAAUAUUGGGGAGAGACCGAUAGCGAACAAGUACCGUGAGGGAAAGAUGAAAAGCACUUUGGAAAGAGAGUUAAACAGUACGUGAAAUUGUCGAAAGGGAAGCGCUUGAAGUCAGACAUGCUGCUGAGACUCAGCCUUGGUUUUCCUUGGUGUAUUUCUCAGUUGGCAGGCCAGCAUCAGUUUUGGCUGUUGGAUAAGGGUAGGAGGAAUGUGGCAUCCUCGGAUGUGUUAUAGCCUCUUACUGGAUACAAC
RNAcentral lists this ribosomal RNA (465 nucleotides) under Golubevia pallescens. RNAcentral's name for it is "LSU rRNA". It matches the Rfam family "Eukaryotic large subunit ribosomal RNA", at positions 110 to 577 of the family's 3401-position model. The record is from RNAcentral. Lineage: Eukaryota; Fungi; Basidiomycota; Exobasidiomycetes; Golubeviales; Golubeviaceae.